This 229-nucleotide unclassified non-coding RNA is filed under the name plant metagenome. RNAcentral's name for it is "partial contains small subunit ribosomal RNA, internal transcribed spacer 1, and 5.8S ribosomal RNA". The record is from RNAcentral.
UCUCCGUAGGUGAACCUGCGGAGGGAUCAUUACUGAAUUAUCGCCGCUCCGGGUAGACCUCCCACCCAGGGUGUUUAAUACUGUGUUGCUUAACCGGGCCGCCGUGCACUGCGCAUCCGCCGGCUCCGGGUGGCGCGCGCCUGCCAGAGUCUCCGCAAACUCUGAAUUUCAGUGUCGUCUGAGUUAUAUAUAAUAGUUAAAACUUUCAACAACGGAUCUCUUGGUUCUG